AGAGUUUGAUCCUGGCUCAGAACGAACGCUGGCGGCAUGCCUAACACAUGCAAGUCGAACGCCCCGCAAGGGGCGUGGCGCACGGGUGAGUAACGCGUGGGAACCUGCCCUUGAGUGGGGGAUAACCCGGCGAAAGCCGGGCUAAUACCGCAUACGUCCUGUUGUCGUGGAGAUGGCGGGAGAAAGAUUUAUCGCUCAAG
This 200-nucleotide ribosomal RNA is filed under the name uncultured bacterium. Its description in RNAcentral is "partial 16S ribosomal RNA". It matches the Rfam family "Bacterial small subunit ribosomal RNA", at positions 8 to 223 of the family's 1533-position model. The record is from RNAcentral.